Phrynosoma platyrhinos (Desert horned lizard) is the source of this 71-nucleotide non-coding RNA. The record is from the annotation of a GenBank genome assembly. NCBI's taxonomy places the organism in Eukaryota, Metazoa, Chordata, Lepidosauria, Squamata, Phrynosomatidae.
GCAUGUGUAGUGUAGUGGUUUGAGUGCUGGAUUGUGACUCUAGAGACCAGGGUUUGAUUCCCAACUUUGCU